This 87-nucleotide transfer RNA is filed under the name Clostridiales bacterium. Its description in RNAcentral is "tRNA-Leu". It matches the Rfam family "tRNA". From Rfam's summary of the family: Transfer RNA (tRNA) molecules are approximately 80 nucleotides in length. Their secondary structure includes four short double-helical elements and three loops (D, anti-codon, and T loops). Lineage: Bacteria; Bacillati; Bacillota; Clostridia; Eubacteriales. The record is from RNAcentral.
GCGAGAGUGGUGGAAUUGGCAGACACGCCAGAUUCAGGUUCUGGUGGUAUUAAUACUGUGCAGGUUCAAAUCCUGUCUCUCGCACCA